AUUGAACGCUGGCGGCAGGCUUAACACAUGCAAGUCGAACGAGCGGCGGACGGGUGAGUAAUGUCUGGGAAACUGCCUGAUGGAGGGGGAUACCUACUGGAAACGGUAGCUAAUACCGCAUACCAUCAGAUGUGCCCAGAUGGGAUUAGCUAGUUGGUGGGGUAAUGGCUCACCUAGGCGACGAUCCCUAGCUGGUCUGAGAGGAUGACCAGCCACACUGGAACGGAGACACGGCCCAGACUCCUACGGGAGGCAGCAGUGGGGAAUAUUGCACAAUGGGCGCAAGCCUGACGCAGCCAUGCCGCGUGUAUGAAGAAGGCCUUCGGGUUGUAAAGUACUUUCAGCGAGGAGGCGUUACCUGCAGAAGAAGCACCGGCUAACUCCGUGCCAGCAGACGCGGUAAUAC
This 406-nucleotide ribosomal RNA is filed under the name uncultured bacterium. RNAcentral's name for it is "partial 16S ribosomal RNA". It matches the Rfam family "Bacterial small subunit ribosomal RNA", at positions 30 to 526 of the family's 1533-position model. The record is from RNAcentral.